RNAcentral lists this transfer RNA (75 nucleotides) under Spirochaetaceae bacterium. RNAcentral describes it as "tRNA-Trp". It matches the Rfam family "tRNA". Rfam says of the family: Transfer RNA (tRNA) molecules are approximately 80 nucleotides in length. Their secondary structure includes four short double-helical elements and three loops (D, anti-codon, and T loops). Further hydrogen bonds mediate the characteristic L-shaped molecular structure. tRNAs have two regions of fundamental functional importance: the anti-codon, which is responsible for specific mRNA codon recognition, and the 3' end, to which the tRNAs corresponding amino acid is attached (by aminoacyl-tRNA synthetases). tRNAs cope with the degeneracy of the genetic code in two manners: having more than one tRNA (with a specific anti-codon) for a particular amino acid; and 'wobble' base-pairing, i.e. permitting non-standard base-pairing at the 3rd anti-codon position. The record is from RNAcentral. Lineage: Bacteria; Pseudomonadati; Spirochaetota; Spirochaetia; Spirochaetales; Spirochaetaceae.
AUACGUGUAGUUCAAGCUAGGCAGAGCAUCGGUCUCCAAAACCGAAGGUUGUAGGUUCAAACCCUGCUGCGUAUG